This 447-nucleotide ribosomal RNA is filed under the name uncultured bacterium. RNAcentral describes it as "partial 16S ribosomal RNA". It matches the Rfam family "Bacterial small subunit ribosomal RNA", at positions 29 to 523 of the family's 1533-position model. The record is from RNAcentral.
AACGAACGCUGGCGGCAGGCUUAACACAUGCAAGUCGAACGCCCCGCAAGGGGAGUGGCAGACGGGUGAGUAACGCGUGGGAACGUGCCCCAAGGUAGGGAACAACAGCGGGAAACUGCUGCUAACACCCUAUGUGACCGAGAGGUGAAAGAUUUAUCGCCUUGGGAUCGGCCCGCGUUGGAUUAGCUAGUUGGUGGGGUAAAAGCCUACCAAGGCGACGAUCCAUAGCUGUUCUGAGAGGAAGAUCAGCCACACUGGGACUGAGACACGGCCCAGACUCCUACGGGAGGCAGCAGUGGGGAAUCUUGGACAAUGGGCGCAAGCCUGAUCCAGCCAUGCCGCGUGAGUGAUGAAGGCCUUAGGGCUGUAAAACUCUUUCGCCGAGGACGAUAAUGACGGUACUCGGAGAAGAAGCUCCGGCUAACUUCGUGCCAGCCGCCGCGGUAA